GACCACAGACAUUUGCGACUCUGAACCUA
Molecule: non-coding RNA, 29 nt
Filed under: Mus musculus (house mouse)
Lineage: Eukaryota; Metazoa; Chordata; Mammalia; Rodentia; Muridae
Source: RNAcentral